AGGCUGCUUGUUUCUACUAAAUCAUUCCUACAUUCACAAUGAAGGUCCUACUGUUCGUUAUUGUCGCCAUGGCUGCAGUUUUCUGGUCUCCAGUUGCUGCCCAAUUUUGCGAAGCUCCAUAUUCAUGUGUAAACCUCUGCGUGUUCGGUGCCGGUCCUGGAAUCUGCCCGUCUGGACAGACCUGCUGCGGAUUGGGAUUAGGAGGAAAAUAAAGUAGUCGGUCCAUCUACGCGGCCCUUCCACUACAUUGUUGUCUAUUGCGUAACACGUUACAUAUGGCCUUUUGAGUUAAACAUUCUAAACAUAAAAUAAAGAAAAAUCAAAAUAAAGAAUGCAAGCCUAAGUUAAUUGUUA
This is a long non-coding RNA of Photinus pyralis (common eastern firefly), 354 nucleotides long. RefSeq lists it as uncharacterized. Lineage: Eukaryota; Metazoa; Arthropoda; Insecta; Coleoptera; Lampyridae. The record is from RefSeq and is a predicted model, not a curated record. The transcript has 2 exons.